GACGAAAGAGGGAGGCGUGCUUAACACAUGCAAGUCGAACGGAAAGGCCCUGCUUUUGUGGGGUGCUCGAGUGGCGAACGGGUGAGUAACACGUGAGUAACCUGCCCUUGACUUUGGGAUAACUUCAGGAAACUGGGGCUAAUACCGGAUAGGAGCUCCUGCUGCAUGGUGGGGGUUGGAAAGUUUCGGCGGUUGGGGAUGGACUCGCGGCUUAUCAGCUUGUUGGUGGGGUAGUGGCUUACCAAGGCUUUGACGGGUAGCCGGCCUGAGAGGGUGACCGGCCACAUUGGGACUGAGAUACGGCCCAGACUCCUACGGGAGGCAGCAGUGGGGAAUAUUGCACAAUGGGCGGAAGCCUGAUGCAGCAACGCCGCGUGCGGGAUGACGGCCUUCGGGUUGUAAACCGCUUUCGCCUGUGACGAAGCGUGAGUGACGGUAAUGGGUAAAGAAGCACCGGCUAACUACGUG
Molecule: ribosomal RNA, 468 nt
Filed under: uncultured bacterium
Lineage: Bacteria
Description: partial 16S ribosomal RNA
Rfam family: Bacterial small subunit ribosomal RNA
Source: RNAcentral